GAUGAACGCUGGCGGCGUGCCUAAUACAUGCAAGUCGAGCGAACGGACGAGAAGCUUGCUUCUCUGAUGUUAGCGGCGGACGGGUGAGUAACACGUGGAUAACCUACCUAUAAGACUGGGAUAACUUCGGGAAACCGUAGCUAAUACCGGAUAAUAUUUUGAACCGCAUGGUUCAAAAGUGAAAGACGGUCUUGCUGUCACUUAUAGAUGGAUCCGCGCUGCAUUAGCUAGUUGGUAAGGUAACGGCUUAGCAAGGCAACGAUGCAUAGCCGACCUGAGAGGGUGAUCGGCCACACUGGAACUGAGACACGGUCCAGACUCCUACGGGAGGCAGCAGUACGGAAUCUUCCGCAAUGGGCGAAAGCCUAACGGAGCAACACCGCGUGAGUGAUGAAGGUCUUCGGAUCGUAAAACUCUGUUAUUAGGGAAGAACAUAUGUGUAAGUAACUGUGCACAUCUUGACGGUACCUAGUCAGAAAGCCACGGCUAACUACGUG
This 497-nucleotide ribosomal RNA is filed under the name uncultured bacterium. RNAcentral's name for it is "partial 16S ribosomal RNA". It matches the Rfam family "Bacterial small subunit ribosomal RNA", at positions 28 to 507 of the family's 1533-position model. The record is from RNAcentral.